AUUGAACGCUGGCGGCAGGCUUAACACAUGCAAGUCGAGCGGUAACAGGAGAAGCUUGCUUCUCGCUGACGAGCGGCGGACGGGUGAGUAAUACUUAGGAAUCUGCCCAGUAGUGGGGGAUAGCUCGGGGAAACUCGAAUUAAUACCGCAUACACCCUACGGGGAAAAGGGGGCACUUGUGCUCUCGCUAUUGGAUGAGCCUAAGUCGGAUUAGCUAGUUGGUGGGGUAAAGGCCUACCAAGGCGACGAUCUGUAGCUGGUCUGAGAGGAUGAUCAGCCACACCGGGACUGAGACACGGCCCGGACUCCUACGGGAGGCAGCAGUGGGGAAUAUUGGACAAUGGGGGCAACCCUGAUCCAGCCAUGCCGCGUGUGUGAAGAAGGCCUUUUGGUUGUAAAGCACUUUAAGCAGUGAAGAAGACUCUAUGGUUAAUACCCAUAGACGAUGACAUUAGCUGCAGAAUAAGCACCGGCUAACUCUGUGCCAGCAGCCGCGGUAAUACAGAGGGUGCAAGCGUUAAUCGGAAUUACUGGGCGUAAAGCGAGCGUAGGUGGCUUGAUAAGUCAGAUGUGAAAUCCCCAGGCUUAACCUGGGAACUGCAUCUGAUACUGUUAGGCUAGAGUAGGUGAGAGGGAGGUAGAAUUUCAGGUGUAGCGGUGAAAUGCGUAGAGAUCUGAAGGAAUACCGAUGGCGAAGGCAGCCUCCUGGCAUCAUACUGACACUGAGGUUCGAAAGCGUGGGUAGCAAACAGGAUUAGAUACCCUGGUAGUCCACGCCGUAAACGAUGUCUACUAGUCGUUGGGGAACUUGAUUCCUUAGUGACGCAGCUAACGCAAUAAGUAGACCGCCUGGGGAGUACGGCCGCAAGGUUAAAACUCAAAUGAAUUGACGGGGGCCCGCACAAGCGGUGGAGCAUGUGGUUUAAUUCGAUGCAACGCGAAGAACCUUACCUGGUCUUGACAUAUCUAGAAUCCUGCAGAGAUGCGGGAGUGCCUUCGGGAAUUAGAAUACAGGUGCUGCAUGGCUGUCGUCAGCUCGUGUCGUGAGAUGUUGGGUUAAGUCCCGCAACGAGCGCAACCCUUUUCCUUAGUUACCAGCGGUUUGGCCGGGGACUCUAAGGAUACUGCCAGUGACAAACUGGAGGAAGGCGGGGACGACGUCAAGUCAUCAUGGCCCUUACGACCAGGGCUACACACGUGCUACAAUGGUAGGUACAGAGGGCAGCUACACAGCGAUGUGAUGCGAAUCUCAAAAAGCCUAUCGUAGUCCAGAUUGGAGUCUGCAACUCGACUCCAUGAAGUCGGAAUCGCUAGUAAUCGCGGAUCAGAAUGCCGCGGUGAAUACGUUCCCGGGCCU
This 1357-nucleotide ribosomal RNA is filed under the name uncultured bacterium. RNAcentral's name for it is "bacterial SSU rRNA". It matches the Rfam family "Bacterial small subunit ribosomal RNA", at positions 28 to 1381 of the family's 1533-position model. The record is from RNAcentral.